UACGUAGGGGGCUAGCGUUGUCCGGAAUCAUUGGGCGUAAAGAGCGUGUAGGCGGUCCGGUAAGUCCGCUGUGAAAGUCGGGGGCUCAACCCUCGAAUGCCGGUGGAUACUGUCGGGCUAGAGUGCGGAAGAGGCGAGUGGAAUUCCUGGUGUAGCGGUGAGAUGCGCAGAUAUCAGGAGGAACACCUAUUGCGAAGGCAGCUCGCUGGGACGUAACUGACGCUGAGACGCGAAAGCGUGGGGAGCAAACAGG
This 253-nucleotide ribosomal RNA is filed under the name uncultured bacterium. RNAcentral's name for it is "partial 16S ribosomal RNA". It matches the Rfam family "Bacterial small subunit ribosomal RNA", at positions 524 to 776 of the family's 1533-position model. The record is from RNAcentral.